CAGCAGAGAACAAAAGAACGAUUCCUUAUGCCAACACCUACGUGUUUUCUGUGUUGUCUUCUUAGGCGUGCUAUUAGGGCAGUCAAGGAAGAUAAAGGAAGACUGGUAGUUACUACAUGCCAGAGAAGGGCUGUAAAGAUUCUUUAAAAAUGAUAAAACAGAUAAUCUGCCAGAUUUCUGUGCUUUGGUUGUUGGGAGCUAAAGAAAUCCUUCAUGCACAUCAUCAUCCUGCAACAUGCUCUUGCAGACGUUUAGCAGUUGCAAUGGUAGCAGCUGAAGAAAAAAUAAAAAUAGAUUCUGUAGCACAUUUUAAAAACUUUCAGGUUUAUUUUAGAUCUAUGACUGUACUGUAAUAUUUGUAACAUCAAUGUAUUCUCUGUUUUGUUUUGCAAGGUACCCUAACUCUAGUACAGGUGCUCUCAUAAUUCUGUACACUGGCAGGUAAGCAGACACAAGGUGUUAAGAAUCUGAUUAUGUGUUUUAUAUCAUUAUUUUCAGACUGCUUCAUAGCAGCUGACUGCUAGGCUGCUGGAGUAGUAUGGUUUAUUCCUCUGCUUCAUAGGAAGGGUUCCUGACUUCAUGAAUCUUCACAAUAGUAAGAAAUACAGUUUGGGGGAGUUGGACAUUAUGUGUCUUUGAUGACAAAGUUCUUGACAUAUUUGGGGGCUACAACUUGCAAUGCUGAAAGUUGAUAUAUAUGUUUAUAUUCUAUAUACAUAUGUAUUUGUAUGUACGUAUUUGCAGGUGGAAUUGAAAUGAUAAAACUUGGAAAUUUUGUUUUUUGCAUAUAUUCUUUGCGUAUUAUUUACAGAGUUAAUAGUAUGGGGAUUUUUGUUGUUGUUGCUGUUUGUUACUGUUUUGGUGAAUCACCAAACCAAGAAAAUAAUCUGGACGCUUCUUAAUUUUUUUUUUCUCCUUUGAAAUUAAUUACUUUUUAUUCAUUUCCUUGUCUUGCUAUCCCUGACCAGCCCUCUUGAAUGAAAGGAAAAGGUAGAAUAGAACAUUAAUUGGAUGUUUAGUCACCUCAGCAAGUGGAUCUGAUGAUAAUGAGUGCUCCUGAAAUAAGCUUUGGUCUGAGGUAUAAUCUCAUAGCCAUGAUAUUUAGUAUACUCCCUGUACUAUACAAUGCCUUCAGGUGAUGUAAGUGCUCAACAAUAAGUCUGUCUCCCUAGACCCUUUCCAGUUCCAGUGUGGGACAGGUUAAAGCUGAAUUGAAACUGGUCUUACUAAUAGCAGGGUGUUGUAGUUUUGAUUGGCCUAGAAAAGAUAAAGAAACAACUGUUAUUCUGG
Molecule: long non-coding RNA, 1290 nt
Filed under: Cyanistes caeruleus (blue tit)
Lineage: Eukaryota; Metazoa; Chordata; Aves; Passeriformes; Paridae
Description: lncRNA (ENSCCEG00000024155.1)
Source: RNAcentral